GCGAGAAAAACUUUUGCAAUGUGCGAAAGCACGACAAGGUUAAUCCGAGUGAUUCCUGCUAAAGGAAUCUUUUGUUAGUCGUAAAACCACUGAUGAAUAAGGGGUGGGCAAGUUCUGGUGUCAGCCGCCGCGGUAAAACCAGCACCUCAAGUGGUCAGGAGGAUUAUUGGGCCUAAAGCAUCCGUAGCCUGCUCUGUAAGUUUCCGGUUAAAUCCAUUAGCUCAACUGAUGGGCCGCCGGAAAAACUGCAUAGCUAGGGAGUGGGAGAGGUAGACGGUACUCGGUAGGAAGGGGUAAAUCCUUGAUCUAUUGAUGACCACCUGUGGCGAAGGCGGUCUACCAGAACACGUCCGACGGUGAGGGAU
This 365-nucleotide ribosomal RNA is filed under the name uncultured euryarchaeote. RNAcentral describes it as "bacterial SSU rRNA". It matches the Rfam family "Archaeal small subunit ribosomal RNA", at positions 337 to 705 of the family's 1478-position model. Lineage: Archaea; Methanobacteriati; Methanobacteriota. The record is from RNAcentral.